GAUGAACGCUAGCGACAGGCUUAACACAUGCAAGUCGAGGGGCAGCGGGGGAGUAGCAAUACUCCCGCCGGCGACCGGCGCACGGGUGAGUAACACGUAUGAAACCUGCCCGUAGCAGGGGGAUAAGCGGAAGAAAUUCCGUCUAAUACCGCGUGACGCGGCGCCGGGGCAUCCCGGUGCCGCCAAAGGGAUUACCGGUGGCGGAUGGGCAUGCGGCGCAUUAGCUAGUCGGCGGGGUAACGGCCCACCGAGGCGACGAUGCGUAGGGGUUCUGAGAGGAAGGUCCCCCACACUGGUACUGAGACACGGACCAG
Molecule: ribosomal RNA, 314 nt
Filed under: uncultured bacterium
Lineage: Bacteria
Description: bacterial SSU rRNA
Rfam family: Bacterial small subunit ribosomal RNA
Source: RNAcentral